UACGUAGGUGGCAAGCGUUGUCCGGAAUUAUUGGGCGUAAAGCGCGCGCAGGUGGUUCCUUAAGUCUGAUGUGAAAGCCCACGGCUCAACCGUGGCGGGUCAUUGGAAACUGGGGAACUUGAGUGCAGAAGAGGAAAGUGGAAUUCCACGGUUAGCGGUGAAAUGCGUAGAGACGUGGAGGCACACCAGUGGCGAAGGCGACUUUCUGGUCUGUAACUGACACUGAGGCGCGAAAGCGUGGGGAGCGAACAGG
RNAcentral lists this unclassified non-coding RNA (253 nucleotides) under uncultured Bacillaceae bacterium. Its description in RNAcentral is "contains 16S-23S intergenic spacer region". It matches the Rfam family "Bacterial small subunit ribosomal RNA", at positions 524 to 776 of the family's 1533-position model. The record is from RNAcentral. Lineage: Bacteria; Bacillati; Bacillota; Bacilli; Caryophanales; Bacillaceae.